GGGGAUGUAGCUCAGUUGGGAGAGCAUCACGUUCGCAACGUGAGGGUCGGGGGUUCGAAUCCCCCCAUCUCCACCA
Molecule: transfer RNA, 76 nt
Filed under: Deltaproteobacteria bacterium RBG_13_52_11
Lineage: Bacteria; Deltaproteobacteria
Also listed under: 5 other names
Description: tRNA-Ala
Rfam family: tRNA
About the family: Transfer RNA (tRNA) molecules are approximately 80 nucleotides in length. Their secondary structure includes four short double-helical elements and three loops (D, anti-codon, and T loops). Further hydrogen bonds mediate the characteristic L-shaped molecular structure. tRNAs have two regions of fundamental functional importance: the anti-codon, which is responsible for specific mRNA codon recognition, and the 3' end, to which the tRNAs corresponding amino acid is attached (by aminoacyl-tRNA synthetases). tRNAs cope with the degeneracy of the genetic code in two manners: having more than one tRNA (with a specific anti-codon) for a particular amino acid; and 'wobble' base-pairing, i.e. permitting non-standard base-pairing at the 3rd anti-codon position.
Source: RNAcentral